Molecule: long non-coding RNA, 1011 nt
Organism: Cryptomeria japonica (Japanese cedar)
Lineage: Eukaryota; Viridiplantae; Streptophyta; Pinopsida; Cupressales; Cupressaceae
Exons: 3
Source: RefSeq, a predicted model, not a curated record
GAUCACUUUUGAUUGGUGAUAAUCAUGGGGAGUCCUCAAUAUUGAAUUGAAAAAGCAUGGGAAGUCUUUCUCGGUAGCCCGCUGGCAAAUAUUAGCCCCUUUAAACUAAUUCUGUUUUUUAUUUGUGCCUUGUCUUACACUUCUCUAAUUGUUUUUAACAAAAUUUCUACUUUUGUUUUUUGAGAGUCCAUGAUGAAAUGAAAACAGGAACUGCAAAAUGCUGUGAUCAGAAGAAAUUUUACUGAUUGAUAUUUCUUUCCCAUUUAAAGAAAUAUUUUAAAAGAGUUUGUAUAGCUUUUGAAAAGAGAGAGGAAGGGAGAAAUCAAUGACAUAUAAAAGUGCCAUCAGAUAACCAGAAAGGUUCACUGACACAUUGAUGAUCUCUGUUACGUAUAUCUAAGAGUUUCAACUCUGGGCAUGGUUCCUUUCUGCUGUAUCCUGUGUGAUAAAGAUGUUGGUGUCCCAUUGAGGUAGCCAAAAGCCUGCAGAGGUAGAUGUUAGUAUCAGAGCCUGCUUGAGGUUAAUUUGUGUACUGUGUUAGAAAAAAAUCAUUGUAACAUUGCUGUUGAAUUAUCUGGAUAUUCUACCUUUUCCUCUUCCUGCGAGGUAAGGUAUGUCAUCAUGUAGCUCUUCCAUCUGUCUAUACUUAAUAUGCUAUUGCUCUGGUUCAUUUGAGACUCAUGAGAUGAUAGAAGUGAAUUUUUAUUUAAUUUUGUUACUGUGAUUUACAAGUAACGAUUGGCUAACUCAGCUAUUUUGUGCUCCUUUUCAUUGUUCAGCCACUUACCUUGUUUUUGUUCUGUUCAAUAUCCAAUUUUAUUUUGUCCAUUUAAAUUAUGUGGAUAGCCUAUAUGUGUUAUGCAUGCUAGAUAUCUAUGAAUCUGCAUCUUAUUAUCUGUGAACAAUUUUUAGAGCUCAUUGAUUAACACUUUUCUCAAACAGCGAGGUUUAAAGGUUAUCUUGUAUAGUAUGCAUUUGAAAGUUUCAAGUUUUAUUAUAUUUUGCAUUUAU